This 497-nucleotide ribosomal RNA is filed under the name uncultured bacterium. Its description in RNAcentral is "partial 16S ribosomal RNA". It matches the Rfam family "Bacterial small subunit ribosomal RNA", at positions 28 to 507 of the family's 1533-position model. The record is from RNAcentral.
GAUGAACGCUGGCGGCGUGCCUAAUACAUGCAAGUCGAGCGAACAGACGAGGAGCUUGCUCCUCUUACGUUAGCGGCGGACGGGUGAGUAACACGUGGAUAACCUCCCUAUAAGACUGGGAUAACUUCGGGAAACCGGAGCUAAUACCGGAUAACAUGUUGAACCGCAUGGUUCAACAGUGAAAGACGGUCUUGCUGUCACUUAUAGAUGGAUCCGCGCCGCAUUAGCUAGUUGGUAAGGUAACGGCUUACCAGGGCAACGAUGCGUAGCCGACCUGAGAGGGUGAUCGGCCACACUGGAACUGAGACACGGUCCAGACUCCUACGGGAGGCAGCAGUAGGGAAUCUUCCGCAAUGGGCGAAAGCCUGACGGAGCAACGCCGCGUGAGUGAAGAAGGUCUUCGGAUCGUAAAACUCUGUUAUUAGGGAAGAACAAAUGUGUAAGUAACUAUGCACGUCUUGACGGUACCUAAUCAGAAAGCCACGGCUAACUACGUG